AGAAUCAACGCUGGCGGCGCGCUUAACACAUGCAAGUCGAGCGAGAAAGGGGAGCAAUCCCCGAGUAAAGCGGCGUACGGGUGAGUAACACGUGGAUCAUCUACCUUUUAGUGGGGAAUAACCCUGGGAAACCGGGGCUAAUACCGCAUAAUCCUGUGAAGGGAAAGCAGUAAUGCGCUGAAAGAGGAGUCCGCGGCCGAUUAGCUAGUUGGUGAGGUAACGGCCCACCAAGGCGACGAUCGGUAG
RNAcentral lists this ribosomal RNA (246 nucleotides) under uncultured bacterium. RNAcentral's name for it is "partial small subunit ribosomal RNA". It matches the Rfam family "Bacterial small subunit ribosomal RNA", at positions 26 to 286 of the family's 1533-position model. The record is from RNAcentral.